RNA transcript from Orcinus orca (killer whale), 4099 nucleotides. It is a transcript of the gene named UDP-N-acetylglucosamine--peptide N-acetylglucosaminyltransferase 110 kDa subunit-like, with no coding region annotated. The record is from RefSeq and is a predicted model, not a curated record. The transcript has 2 exons. NCBI's taxonomy places the organism in Eukaryota, Metazoa, Chordata, Mammalia, Artiodactyla, Delphinidae.
GGCAUGCAUUGCGUCUCAAACCAGAUUUCAUCAAUGGUUAUAUUAACCUGGCAGCCGCUUUGGUAGCAGCAGGUGACAUGGAAGGGGCAGUACAAGCUUACAUCUCUGCUCUUCAGUACAAUCCUGAUUUGUACUGUGUUCGCAGUGACCUGGGGAACCUGCUCAAAGCCCUGGGUCGCUUGGAAGGAGCCAAGGCAUGUUAUUUGAAAGCAAUGGAGACGCAACCGAACUUUGCAGUAGCUUGGAGUAAUCUUGGCUGUGUUUUCAAUGCACAAGGGGAGAUUUGGCUUGCAAUUCAUCACUUUGAAAAGGCUGUCACCCUUGACCCCAAUUUUCUGGAUGCUUAUAUCAAUUUAGGAAAUGUCUUGCAAGAGGCACGGAUUUUUGACAGAGCUGUGGCAGCUUACCUUUGUGCCCUAAGCUUGAGCCCAAAUCAUGCAGUGGUACAUGCCAACCUGGCUUGUGUAUAUUAUGAGCAAGGCCUGAUGGAUCUGGCAGUAGACACCUACAGGCGAGCUAUUGAAUUGCAACCACAUUUCCCUGAUGCUUACUGCAACCUAGCCAACGCUCUGGAAGAGAAGGGCAGUGUUGCCGAAGCAGAAGAGUGUUAUAAUACAGCUCUGCGGCUGUGUCCCACCCAUGCAGACUCUCUGAAUAACCUAGCCAAUAUCAAAGGAGACCAGGGAAACUUUGAAGAGGCAGUUCGCUUGUAUUGUAAAGCAUUAGAAGUCUUCCCAGAGUUUGCUGUUGCCCAUUCAAAUUUAGCAAGUGUAUUGCAGCAGCAGGGAAAACUGCAGGAAGCUCUGAUGCAUUAUAAGGAGGCUGUUCGAAUCAGUCCUACCUUUGCUGAUGCCUACUGUAACAUGGGAGACACUCUAAAGGAGAUGCAGGAUGUUCAGGGAGCCUUGCAGUGUUAUACUCGUGCCAUUCAGAUUAACCCUGCACUUGCGGAUGCCCACAGCAAUCUGGCUUCCAUUCACAAGUAUUCAGGGAAUAUUCCAGAAGCAAUUGCUUCUUAUCGCACUGCUCUGAAGCUUGAACCUGAUUUUCCUGACGCUUAUUGUGAUUUGGCUCAUUGCCUGCAGAUUGUCUGUGAUUGGACAGACUAUGAUGAGCGAAUGAAGAAGUUGGUCAGCAUUGUGGCUGACCAGCUGGAGAAGAAUAGGUUGCCUUCUGUGCAGCCUCAUCAUAGUAUGCUCUAUCCUCUUUCUCAUGGCUUCAGGAAGGCUAUUGCUGAGAGCCACGGGAACCUCUGCUUGGAUGAGAUCAGUGUCUUUCAUAAACCACCAUACGAACAUCCAAAAGACUUGAAGCUCAGUGAUGGUCGACUGCAUGUAGGAUAUGUGAGUUCUGACUUUGGGAAUCAUCCUACUUCUCAUCUUAUGCAGUCUAUUCCAGGCAUGCACAAUCCUGAUAAAUUUGAGGUAUUCUGUUAUGCCCUGAGCCCAGAUGAUGGCACAAACUUCCAAGCGAAGGUGAUGGCAGAAGCCCAUCAUUUCAUUGAUCUUUCUCAGAUUCCAUGCAAUGGGAAAGCAGCUGAUCGCAUCCAUCAAGAUGGUAUACACAGCCUUGUAAAUAUGAAUGGUUAUACCAGGGGUGCUCGAAAUGAACUCUUUGCUCUCAGGCCAGCUCCUAUUCAGGCAAUGUGGCUGGGCUACCCUGGGACCAGUGGCGUGCUUUUCAUGGAUUAUAUCAUCACUGAUCAGGAAACUUCACCUGCUGAAGUUGCUGAGCAGUAUUCUGAGAAAGUGGCUUAUAUGCCCCAUACUUUCUUUAUUGGUGAUCAUGCUAAUAUGUUCCCUCACCUGAAGAAGAAGGCAGUCAUCGAUUUUAAGUCCAAUGGGCACAUUUGUGACAAUCGGAUUGUGCUGAAUGGCAUCGACCUCAAAGCAUUUCUUGAUAGUCUCCCAGAUGUGCAGAUUGUCAAGAUGAAAUGUCCUGAUGGAGGAGACAACGCAGACAGCAGUAAUACGGCUCUUAAUAUGCCUGUCACUCCUAUGAAUACUAUUGCAGAGGCAGUUAUUGAAAUGAUUAACAGAGGACAAAUUCAGAUAACAAUUAAUGGAUUCAGUCUUAGCAAUGGACUGGCAACUACCCAGAUCAACAUCAAGGCUGCCACUGGAGAGGAGGUUCCCCGUACCAUUAUUGUAACCACACGUUCUCAGUACGGGUUACCGGAAGAUGCCAUUGUGUACUGUAACUUCAAUCAGUUAUAUAAAAUUGACCCAUCUACUUUGCAGAUGUGGGCAAAUAUUCUGAAGCGUGUUCCCAAUAGUGUACUGUGGCUGUUGCGUUUUCCAGCAGUAGGAGAACCUAAUAUUCAACAGUAUGCACAAAAUAUGGGCCUUCCCCAGAAGCGUAUCAUUUUUUCACCUGUUGCUCCUAAGGAGGAACAUGUUCGGAGAGGCCAGCUGGCUGAUGUCUGCUUGGACACUCCACUCUGUAAUGGACACACCACAGGGAUGGAUGUCCUUUGGUCAGGGACACCCGUGGUGACUAUGCCAGGAGAGACUCUUGCUUCCCGAGUUGCAGCUUCCCAGCUCACUUGUUUAGGCUGUCUUGAGCUUAUUGCUCAAAAUAGACAAGAAUAUGAAGACAUAGCUGUGAAACUGGGAACUGAUCUAGAAUACCUGAAGAAAAUUCGUGGCAAAGUCUGGAAGCAGAGAACAUCUAGCCCUCUGUUCAACACCAAACAAUACACAAUGGACCUAGAGCGGCUCUAUCUACAGAUGUGGGAGCAUUACGCAGCUGGCAACAAACCUGAUCACAUGAUUAAGCCUGUUGAAGUCACUGAGUCGGCCUAAAUAAUGACUGUGUGCACAGGAGAAUUACCCUGUACCUGAGCCUCAACCUUCUGGGGGAAAGGGAACUACUUUUUCCUUAUCUGUACAAUACCAUGCUGCAGAUGGGUGACAGACAAUGAUAAGAAAUAGCACAGCCAGACUUGCUUCCUGCAUGAUCAUGAUCACGAUAGGGAGAGACACAAGAGAUGGGAAACUGCUGUUCCACAAGGAGUCUCCAUAGAAUUUUGCAGCAGCCAGGUGUCUGGAAGGUCUGGAAGUGAGUCCUGUUCUACCUUUUUCUUUCAGCAGAAAUGAAAUCCCAGGUAAGUAUAAGUAUUCAAAUAUUUGAUCAGUAAGUCACAGUUAUCUCCAGUACAUUAAAUAACUUUCAUCAAAAAACAUGUUAUAGGUAAAAAGCUCUGAAGGACCAGCUAUGUAUAUGAUAAUUAUGUUUCAGACCUUCUAGGGUAUUAUAUAUAAUAACUUGUCUUCUGGACGUGGUCUUGAAGUCUUUAUGGAUUCAGUCUCAGUAGUAGCGAACUGCACUGCUACUUGGUUUGGAGUACAAAUUAGACUUUAGCCCUCCUGGAGGUUGAGUUUUUGGUAUUGAAAACCAUAGGAAUGAAAUUAUUGUAUUUCAGCAAAGGAUCGAGGGCUUGAGGCUUAAACAAGGCAACAUACAUGUGGGAAGCAGUCAGCCUUGAGGGCAGGUAAGGACAUGCCAGGCAUGCGGCCGCUGCUCGAAGGGACUGUCCCUACUUGUUCCCCUCCUUGUUCCAUUCCAUGGGAGAUAAAUCACCAGGGCCCAGAGAUCAGAAAGAAUGUAAAAUGAGACAAGCAAAGCUGUCUCCCCCCUGCACAUGCAGGUUAUUUUUGAUGCUUCUGGGUUUAUGGGUUUCCUCCCAGGGAAGUUAACCUCAAGCCGAGACAGUCUGUAGAUAAUGUAAACCACCAUCUGGCAACCUUCCUUUUUCUAGUCUAGAUAAUCUGCAACUGUAGCGCAAUAAAAUUUGCCUUGCAACCAUCAAUUGUCUUGGUCCUUCUGACCCCAUCCGUCAGUGCUACUUCAGUUCCUUACCCCUUCCCUUCUGACCCUGGGCGGUGAGAUCCUCUUUCUCCGGCUGGUCCGCGGCAAGUGGCACUCGAACAGGGACCUGAAGCGCGAAGGCAAUUAAAAGAAGAAGAAAGUGCAGGUAAGAGAACCCUUAUGCAAAAUAUGUGUGGCCACCAGUAACAGUGAAACUAAUAGGGGCAUAAGGCAAUAGUCAGAAGUAAAAUAAGAUGGGGCAAAAGGGCUCAAAGGAGUGUGAAUUAUU